AAUCAAUGAACUUGUAUAAGUGUAUAUUUUGAAAGUAUAAAAAAGAGUAUUACCCUCUAUUGAUUU
Molecule: transfer RNA, 66 nt
Filed under: Philonthus lomatus
Lineage: Eukaryota; Metazoa; Arthropoda; Insecta; Coleoptera; Staphylinidae
Description: tRNA-Ser
Source: RNAcentral